Molecule: ribosomal RNA, 262 nt
Filed under: uncultured bacterium
Lineage: Bacteria
Description: partial 16S ribosomal RNA
Rfam family: Bacterial small subunit ribosomal RNA
Source: RNAcentral
GAUCAUGGCUCAGGAUGAACGCUAGCGACAGGCUUAACACAUGCAAGUCGAGGGGCAGCGAGGGAGUGGCAACACUUCUGUCGGCGACCGGCGCACGGGUGAGUAACGCGUAUGCAACCUGCCCCUUCACAGGGGGAGUAACCGGGAGGAAAUUACCGUACCUAAUAACCGCAUACGUCCUCCGGGGCCGGAUCCCCGGGGGACGGUGAAAGAAAUUAUCGUGAGAUGGCGNUGCGUGAUAUUAGGUUAGGUUGGUCGGGGG